Capsella rubella is the source of this 2894-nucleotide long non-coding RNA. RefSeq lists it as uncharacterized. The transcript is spliced from 22 exons. NCBI's taxonomy places the organism in Eukaryota, Viridiplantae, Streptophyta, Magnoliopsida, Brassicales, Brassicaceae. The record is from RefSeq and is a predicted model, not a curated record.
AAAUCAAAGUCUCGUUUUCGCUCUCUCUGGGUUCAUCUCCAUUCUCAAAAGGAUCGUUGCUUCAAAAAUCUUCCGAUUGUGCAAACAAUCAGCGAAGGAAUGGAUCCUGAAGCUCUAUAAAACAAUUUUUCUGGAGAUCCAUUCAGAAAUAAGAACAAAAUUCAACCAGACAACAAAUUUAGCAAGGGGUUUCAGUGUCAAGUUCAGCCUUAGUCUAUUCUGGAGAGUUUGGUGAAGUUGGAGGGCAUCAUGCAUGUAACCUCAUCAAAAUAACAAAAGAACAUAUAUUUAGGAACAAAAAGGUUUGAAGACCAUCUAGUCAGCAGCAAUGAAAAGAUUGUAUUCCCUGAAGAUCAGCUUUUGCAAAGACUGGUCACUCCAUCGCUUGCUCAGAAAUAUGAAGAACUAUACCGUCAAAAUGGGGUUAAGUUUGUCAAGGGAGCUUUGAUAAAUAACUUGGAAGCCGGUUCGGAUGGUUGUGUAUCAGCUGUUAAGCUCGCUGAUGGGUGUACAGUUGAGGUAGACAAGGGAGCUUCGAUAAAUAACUUGGAAGACGGUUCGGAUUGGUGUGUAUCAGCUGUUAAGCUCGCUGAUGGGUAUAAAAUUGAGGCAUACAAGGUUUUGAGAGAGGAGCUUGAUGCGUCUAAUCAAGUACUUCUAUGCUUCCUAGUGCAUAUUCUCUCUAGUUUCUGCAAAUCAUUAUUUCAGCGAAAGGACCGGAUCCCGAAGCUCUAAAAACAAAUUUUCUGGAGAUCCAUUCACUAGGCAAUAACAAAUAAAAGUAAGAUUUCGUGUUCUCUCUCUCCCUCUCUCUCCCUCUCUCCACAAAAAUGAGACAGACAAGUCCUCUGUUCUGGCUUGUUCUGCAAAUAUUUAACAUGUUUAGCCUCGUCAAUUCUUAUUAGAUAUGAUCCUAAAAGCACAAAACACAACACACUCAAACGUAAUUCAGAUACAUCUACACACAAAUUCAAACAGAAAACACAAGACAAUCAAAGCAUGCUCAAACAUAAUUCAAACACACAUGACACAUCUAAACACAAGACAAACAAAACACGCUCAAACACAAUUCAAACACACAUGACACAUCUAAACACAAAUUCAAAUAGAAAACAUAAGACAAACAAAACACGCUCAAACUUAAUUCAAACACAGAAAAGUAAGACACAAACACACAUAUAAACGCCUCAAAUUCAAAUAGAAACAUAACACAAACAAAACACAUUCACUUACAUAUUCAUUGUGGUGAAUUUUGCUUUUGAGCUCAUUGUUUUUUCUUAAAUUUUAAAGCAUCUAUUUUUAUGUGGUUGUUUCUCAAUAGUUAGACACUUUAUUUACUUUUAAAUUUAAGUCAAGUGUUAACCUCGAUUUUCUUUUUGUUGAUCAUGUGCAACUACUGUCAAAGCAAAAUUCAACCACACUACAUAUUUUGCAAGGGGUUUCAGUGUCAAGUUCAGCCUUAGUCUAUUCUGGAGAAGAGAUUGUCGCAAACACCUUGGAGAAUCUCAUAAACAUGAGACAGCCAAUAUAAUUCCUCAGUAAUUUUAGCUAAGAACAGCAUAUAUUUAGGAACAAAAAGGUUUGAAAACCAUCCAGUCAGCAGCAAUGAAGAAGAUUGUAUUCCCUGAAGACCAGCUUUUGCAAAGACUGUUCACUCCAUCACUUGCUCAGAAAUAUGAAGAACUAUACCGUCAAAAUGGGGUUAAGUUUGUCAAGGGUGCUUCGAUAAAUAACUUGGAAGCCGGUUUGGAUGGGCGUGUGUCAGCUGUUAAGCUCUCUGAUGGGUGUCAAUUGAGGGAGACACGGUACAGUUAUCUAUUAGUGAUAUUCUUUACUCUAUUCAGAUUUAAUACCUAACAAGAUUUAUCCAUCCUUAAGCCGCAAAUAUCUUGAGAACAGUGGUGCUCGAUGCGUCUAAUCAAACAGACUCAAAGACUUCACAAAAUGAGAUAGGAAAUAUCGUCUUAAUGAUACAUGUUAAGUUCUCAUGGCUUGUCAAACUAUUUGUGUCAAUUGUUGCCGGAGACUCUGCAGCAGUCCAACGCCCCAACACACACUUUACAUACAUAUUAACUACCUAACAAGAGGUAUCCAUCCUUAAGCUGCAAAGAUUUUGAGAACAGUGGAGCUCGAUGCGUCUGAUCGAGCUCAAAGGCUUCACAAAAUGAGAUAGCAAAUAUCUUCUCAAUGAUUCACGUUAAGACUUUGAAUUACUUAGUUCAAAUUAAAGAUAUGAGCUAGCAGCUCAAUUUUGCUCAGGAAUACACACUAUAUACAUAUUUUCUCCCUAACAAGAUGUAUCCAUCCUUAUGUCACAAAGAAUCUGAGAUCCAAGGGUAAGUGAUGAGUAAGGUGAAGUUUUCUCGCUCCUUAUGUCUCUUGUAUCUUGUCAAAAAUUCACAAAAAAACAAAACAUCGAAAACAAAAACAUACAACACCACCAAACAAAAACAACUUCCCGAAAACAUACAACACCACCAAAACAAAAACAACUUCACGAAAACGUACGACACCCCCAAAACAAAAAAACAACUUCACGAAAACGUACGACACCACCAAAACAAAAACAAGAGCAAAGCAAUUUACACGAAAAUAAAAACUCACGCAAAUAAAAAUUCACGUGCACAAAAUUCACAUACACGAAACAAAGGAACGAAAAAAAAAACCUAACAACAAUUUAUAGCAUUCAUGACCACGAGAAGUUUAUAUAAUAUGAUUGUUUACUAUACGGUUACAUGUAAAAUGUUUUACCAUUUGAAUACUUGUUCCUUUAUGAUUGUUGACUUGUCGUUGUUUUUAAUAUACAUAAACUUAUAUUUUUGUUGUUCUCUUGUGCGAGAAUUUUGUAAACAUUGUUGUUUAUUUGAUUAAUAAAAAGUAAAUUAAUUGAUCAA